GAUGAACGCUAGCGAUAGGCCUAACACAUGCAAGUCGAGGGGCAUCACAUGAAGUAGCAAUACGGAUGGUGGCGACCGGCGCACGGGUGAGUAACACGUAUGCAACCUGCCUUCAACAAGGGGAUAACCCGUUGAAAGACGGACUAAUACCCUAUAACACAGGGGUCCCGCAUGGGGAUAUUUGUUAAAGGACAACCGGUUGAAGAUGGGCAUGCGUUCCAUUAGCUAGUUGGCGGGGUAACGGCCCACCAAGGCAACGAUGGAUAGGGGAACUGAGAGGUUUAUCCCCCACACUGGUACUGAGACACGGACCAGACUCCUACGGGAGGCAGCAGUGAGGAAUAUUGGUCAAUGGGCGAGAGCCUGGACCAGCCAAGUCGCGUGCAGGAAGAAUGUCCUAUGGAUUGUAAACUAGCUUUUGUCAGGGGAAGUAAAGUAGGGCCACGUGUGGCUUUUUGCAUGUACCUUACGAAUAAGGAUCGGCUAACUCC
RNAcentral lists this ribosomal RNA (491 nucleotides) under uncultured bacterium. Its description in RNAcentral is "bacterial SSU rRNA". It matches the Rfam family "Bacterial small subunit ribosomal RNA", at positions 28 to 504 of the family's 1533-position model. The record is from RNAcentral.